GACGAACGCUGGCGGCGUGCUUAACACAUGCAAGUCGAACGGAAAGGCCCUGCUUUUGUGGGGUGCUCGAGUGGCGAACGGGUGAGUAACACGUGAGUAACCUGCCCUUGCCUUUGGGAUAACUUCAGGAAACUGGGGCUAAUACCGGAUAGGAGCUCCUGCUUCAUGGUGGGGGUUGGAAAGUUUCGGCGGUUGGGGUUGGAUUCGCGGCUUAUCAGCUGGUUGGUGGGGUAGUGGCUUACCAAGGCUUUGACGGGUAGCCGGCCUGAGAGGGUGACCGGCCACAUUGGGACUGAGAUGCGGCCCAGACUCCUACGGGAGGCAGCAGUGGGGAAUAUUGCACAAUGGGCGGAAGCCUGAUGCAGCAACGCCGCGUGCGGGAUGACGGCCUUCGGGUUGUAAACCGCUUUCGCCUGUGACGAAGCGUGAGAGACGGUAAUGGGUAAAGAAGCACCGGCUAACUACGAG
This 468-nucleotide ribosomal RNA is filed under the name uncultured bacterium. RNAcentral describes it as "partial 16S ribosomal RNA". It matches the Rfam family "Bacterial small subunit ribosomal RNA", at positions 28 to 507 of the family's 1533-position model. The record is from RNAcentral.